This 72-nucleotide transfer RNA is filed under the name Bos taurus (domestic cattle). It matches the Rfam family "tRNA". Rfam says of the family: Transfer RNA (tRNA) molecules are approximately 80 nucleotides in length. Their secondary structure includes four short double-helical elements and three loops (D, anti-codon, and T loops). The record is from Rfam by way of RNAcentral. Lineage: Eukaryota; Metazoa; Chordata; Mammalia; Artiodactyla; Bovidae. RNAcentral also lists the same sequence under 2 other names.
UCCAUGGUGACUCAGAUGACAGAGAAUCUGCCUGCAAUGCAGGAGACCCAGGUUCAAUCCCUGGGUUGGGAA